AUCCCUGAUCUAUCUAUCCCAAGUUGCCUUGGGUCUGAGAUUUCUACAGUAACUCAAUCGGUCACCAGCUUUGUGCCAUAGGUUUCCCCACGCGGUUUUGAAAGUCAGUCAGCUUCCAAGUAAUUUAUUCUCAAGCCUCAAGGCAUCUCAUUGGGCUAACUAUUGUUACAGAAAAGUUGGAAGACCUGUUCCUUAUUUAUAAGUAAAUAAGAACUCUCUUAGCCAAUGAAGUCACUAAGCCCUAGCAACCAUUUUGGAUUACAUUGAAACCCAGACAUGUGAUGGGGGAAAAGGGAGGUGUUGGCAUCCCCCCUAAGAUCUAUCUCUUUCUGUGGUGAUAUAAUUAGGAAGGAGUCCAUGUCUCCAAAUUCAUCUCCCUGAUAGUCCUUGAGGGCUAUUUGCCAGUCAGAGAUGUCUUGGG
Molecule: long non-coding RNA, 421 nt
Filed under: Monodelphis domestica (gray short-tailed opossum)
Lineage: Eukaryota; Metazoa; Chordata; Mammalia; Didelphimorphia; Didelphidae
Description: lncRNA (ENSMODG00000030383.2)
Source: RNAcentral